AGUGAACGCUGGCGGUGGGCCUAACACAUGCAAGUCGAACGGCAGCACAGUAAGAGCUUGCUCUUACGGGUGGGGAGUGGCGGAUGGGUGAGGAAUACAUCGGACUCUUCUUUUUGGUGGGGGAUCACGUAGGGGACUUUACGCUAAUAUAGCAUACGACUCUCGGGGGAAAUCGUGGGAUCUUUGGACCUGGCGGGAUUGAAUGAGCCGAUGUCGGAUUAGCUUGUUGGGGGGGUAAAGGCCCACCAAGGCGACGAUCCGUAGCUGGUCUGAGGGGAGGAUCAGCCACACUGGAAAUGAGACACGGUCCAGACUCCUACGGGAGGCAGCAGUGGGGAAUAUGGGACAAUGGGCGCAAGCCUGAUCCAGCCAUACCGCGUGGGUGAAGAAGGCCUUCGGGUUGUAAAGCCCUUUUGUUGGGAAAGAAAAGCAGCAGGUUAAUACCCCGCUGUUGUGACGGUACCCAAAGAAUAAGCACCGGCUAACUUCGUG
Molecule: ribosomal RNA, 492 nt
Filed under: uncultured bacterium
Lineage: Bacteria
Description: partial 16S ribosomal RNA
Rfam family: Bacterial small subunit ribosomal RNA
Source: RNAcentral